CUAUAGUUUCAUUCUCAACUUCCAUUUCCGAGGUUUCUUCCCACCCUUGAAGGGCUUGUUUACGAUGUAAUUUCUGUCUUUGUUUCUUAGAUGGAUGAGCUUUCUUAAAGAAUUCAAAUGAAGCAGAAAAUUUAUGCUUGUCCACUAGAUGCUGCUGUCUGCUUUUGUAGCUUUUGAACUUCAAACCACAACCUUCCACCAGG
RNAcentral lists this unclassified non-coding RNA (203 nucleotides) under Hevea brasiliensis (rubber tree). Lineage: Eukaryota; Viridiplantae; Streptophyta; Magnoliopsida; Malpighiales; Euphorbiaceae. The record is from RNAcentral.